GUCAGCAUUGAUGAGUUAGGGUUGGUUUAUUACUGUACAAACAUAGACAAAACUGCAAAGUUCAGCAAAGGCAUUAGACUUGUCCAGACCCCAUGGAUCACACCGAUCACUGUCCCAACUCAACCUUUAGAGUGUCAGAAUCACACUGUAGUAGUGUACCCUACAGAGCCGACAUUGUGGCAGAUGGUUACUGUCAUACUUGCUCUGAUCAGUGUUGUUCUGGUAUUUGGGUUCAUAGCAUACUUUGGCUUUUGUAUGUUUUUUGCUGGUCGCAGUAACAAACACCCACAACGACGAAGAAACUGACCUUCUGCAGCUUAACUGAUAGAUCCAGAAAACGCUGACCUGAUGUCUCUUUUGGGAGGUGUCCAGACAACUGGCAAAAAAUUUAAAUAUGUCCCAGCUUCAGCUAUAAGGGUCCCUGGGAUCAAUUUACAUAGAACAGAAACCCAACAUACAUUUUAGAAUAUAACGGACAAUUUUCUUGGGUUUACUGAAUAAUAAAUGUUUGCAUAG
Molecule: long non-coding RNA, 516 nt
Organism: Carassius carassius (crucian carp)
Lineage: Eukaryota; Metazoa; Chordata; Actinopteri; Cypriniformes; Cyprinidae
Exons: 3
Source: RefSeq, a predicted model, not a curated record